Molecule: ribosomal RNA, 723 nt
Filed under: uncultured bacterium
Lineage: Bacteria
Description: bacterial SSU rRNA
Rfam family: Bacterial small subunit ribosomal RNA
Source: RNAcentral
GCGAGCGGCGGAUGGGUGAGUAACACGUGGGGAACCUGCCCCUAAGUCUGGGAUACCAUUUGGAAACAGGUGCUAAUACCGGAUAAUAAAGCAGAUCGCAUGAUCAGCUUUUGAAAGGCGGCGUAAGCUGUCGCUAAGGGAUGGCCCCGCGGUGCAUUAGCUAGUUGGUAAGGUAACGGCUUACCAAGGCGACGAUGCAUAGCCGAGUUGAGAGACUGAUCGGCCACAUUGGGACUGAGACACGGCCCAAACUCCUACGGGAGGCAGCAGUAGGGAAUCUUCCACAAUGGACGCAAGUCUGAUGGAGCAACGCCGCGUGAGUGAAGAAGGUUUUCGGAUCGUAAAGCUCUGUUGUUGGUGAAGAAGGAUAGAGGUAGUAACUGGCCUUUAUUUGACGGUAAUCAACCAGAAAGUCACGGCUAACUACGUGCCAGCAGCCGCGGUAAUACGUAGGUGGCAAGCGUUGUCCGGAUUUAUUGGGCGUAAAGCGAGCGCAGGCGGAAAAAUAAGUCUAAUGUGAAAGCCCUCGGCUUAACCGAGGAACUGCAUCGGAAACUGUUUUUCUUGAGUGCAGAAGAGGAGAGUGGAACUCCAUGUGUAGCGGUGGAAUGCGUAGAUAUAUGGAAGAACACCAUUGGCGAAAGGCGGCUCUCUGGUCUGCAACUGACGCUGAGGCUUCGAAAGCAUGGGGUAGCGAACAGGAUUUAGAUACCCUGGUAGUCC